AAUAACGAAAAGCCAGGGUAAGAAACAAGAAUUGUAUUUCCAUGGAAACGACGCCGCUUUCAUUCAUCAGCCAUUCAAAUGAUUUGAAUAAUCCAAUUCGGAUAGCGGAUUUAGAGGAUUUUGAAAAUGAAUACGAAGAUGAUUCAAUGAAGAAGCUCGACGAUAUAAUUACACAAGAAGAAGAAGAUAGUUUCGCGGGCGAUUUUUAUAGGUGCGGAACCGACUGGUCUUGUUUAAAUUCUUCUUCGACCAGUGCAAACAAGAGGUUAAAACAGUGUAAUUUAUUUGAAUCGUGGAAGCUUCCGCUUAAGACCAAUGUCGAGGCUUCUACUUCAAUUGUUCCUGAUAAAAAGACGAUUCAAGCUCAGAAGCCGCAGCAGCAGCGUGCUUGCCCAUUUUAUAAGAAACUUCCUGGAACACCCUUCACUGUUGAUGCAUUCCGCUAUGGACAAGUUAAAGGUUGCUCUGCCUAUUUCCUUAGUCAUUUCCAUGCUGAUCACUAUGGUGGUUUGAGCAAGGCGUGGUCCCAUGGACCUAUUUAUUGCACCCCCAUCACAGGAAGGUUGAUCAAAAUGUGUUUAUAUGUAAACCCCUUAUUAAUCCAUACUCUGGAUUUAGAUGUUGAGUAUGUCAUUGAAGGAAUUAAAGUAACAAUGCUCGAGGCUAAUCACUGCCCGGGCGCAGCUCUCAUUCACUUUAACCUCCCAAGUGGUCAAUGCUACCUUCACACAGGCGAUUUUAGGGCUUCUAAAUUGAUGCAAACAUACCCACUUCUUUUAAAUCAACGAGUCAAUGUGCUUUACCUUGACACAACGUACUGCAAUCCCAAAUACAGGUUUCCUUUGAAGGAAAAGGUAUUAGACUUCAUUGUGAAAGUUACAAAGAACAUGCUUAAGAAACAACCUAAGACGCUUAUCAUUGUUGGGGCAUAUAGCAUAGGAAAAGAAUCUGUAUACCUUGCUAUUUCCAAGGCAUUAACGGUGAAAAUUCAUGCUAAUUCUUCAAGGAGGCGCAUCCUGCAGUCUUUUGGUUGGCCAGAAAUAUCAGGUAAUCUGUGUACAAAUGGGAAUGAUACACCUCUGCAUGUUCUGCCGAUGUCGUCCCUAAAGUUUGAGAUAUUGGAGAAAUAUUUGAAGUCAUACAGUGAUCGAUAUACAUCAGUUUUGGCUUUUCGGCCAACAGGUUGGACUUUUUCUGAAUCUACCGGAAGCGAAUUGGAUUCAAUCAAACCCAUUUCUAAAGGCUUUGUCACUAUCUAUGGAGUUCCGUACAGCGAGCAUUCUAGCUUUACAGAAUUGAGGGAGUUUGUUCAGUUUUUGGGGCCUGAGAAAAUAAUUCCAACGGUCAAUGUGGGGAAUGCUGCUACUCGGAAUAAGAUGCAGUCCUGUUUUCAGGAAUGGUCAAAAAAGUGAUAAUAUAACUCUGGAGUUCUUUUCGAGGUCAAUUAAUGGAAAACAUGUUUCUCUAUCAUAUAAUUGAGCUUGACUUCUUGUACCAUUGAAGGUUCUACUCUGUUGUGCUAAAUCCGCUGGCUAUGUUGUGAUGGUAGAGCGAGCAGAUGGUUUUGGUCAGUGUUGGGCUGUUAAUGUCCACUGCAAAUUUGACGGUGUGUCCUUUCGGGGGGCCGUUCAGGCGUAACUCCAACAAAAGAGGAACACUCAUUCUGUGAAAAUAUUAUGGAUAUUGUCGGGAGGGGAAAGAAAUGACAAUCUUGCCUUAUGUCCAAUACUGAGUAGCUUCAAGUUAUUAAUGCAUUCUUGUACUGAGGACUCUUUUAAGUUUCAUGCAGACAUUGACCAAGUGAAAAUUAUGAAGAAUGUGGUUUUUCUGUAAUUCUGCAUAUCAUUGUGCAUUAUUGUUAUUUCAUAGAAAGGGAUUCCUGCAGUUGAACAUUUAUGUAAUAGAAUGUUGCUCAAAAUCUUAACUGGCUACUAUGAUAUUGUCAAACCAUACAUCGUGUUUGCUCUUU
RNA transcript from Daucus carota subsp. sativus, 1969 nucleotides. It is a transcript of the gene named DNA cross-link repair protein SNM1, with no coding region annotated. Lineage: Eukaryota; Viridiplantae; Streptophyta; Magnoliopsida; Apiales; Apiaceae. The transcript is spliced from 11 exons. The record is from RefSeq and is a predicted model, not a curated record.